ACGUUCCGCAGCCCGCGCUGGCGGGGCUGCUGCUGGUGACCGCGGCGAGGCUGGUCGACUUCAGGCGAUUGUUCUACACGCUCAGGGCGUC
Molecule: transfer RNA, 91 nt
Filed under: Mycobacterium tuberculosis
Lineage: Bacteria; Bacillati; Actinomycetota; Actinomycetes; Mycobacteriales; Mycobacteriaceae
Also listed under: 1 other name
Description: tRNA-Thr(ggt)
Source: RNAcentral